Molecule: ribosomal RNA, 426 nt
Filed under: uncultured beta proteobacterium
Lineage: Bacteria; Pseudomonadati; Pseudomonadota; Betaproteobacteria
Description: bacterial SSU rRNA
Rfam family: Bacterial small subunit ribosomal RNA
Source: RNAcentral
GGGGAAUUUUGGACAAUGGGGGCAACCCUGAUCCAGCCAUGCCGCGUGAGUGAAGAAGGCCUUCGGGUUGUAAAGCUCUUUCGGACGGAAAGAAAUCGCCGCCUCUAACAUAGGCGGUGGAUGACGGUACCGUAAGAAGAAGCACCGGCUAACUACGUGCCAGCAGCCGCGGUAAUACGUAGGGUGCAAGCGUUAAUCGGAAUUACUGGGCGUAAAGCGUGCGCAGGCGGUUUUGUAAGACAGUGGUGAAAUCCCCGGGCUCAACCUGGGAACUGCCAUUGUGACUGCAAGGCUGGAGUGCGGCAGAGGGGGGUAGAAUUCCACGUGUAGCAGUGAAAUGCGUAGAGAUGUGGAGGAAUACCGAUGGCGAAGGCAGCCCCCUGGGUUAGUACUGACGCUCAUGCACGAAAGCGUGGGGAGCAAACA